Molecule: unclassified non-coding RNA, 571 nt
Filed under: Hevea brasiliensis (rubber tree)
Lineage: Eukaryota; Viridiplantae; Streptophyta; Magnoliopsida; Malpighiales; Euphorbiaceae
Source: RNAcentral
UAAACACACGUGUCAUAACAUAAACCAUAACGCUAAAAGAGUAAUGUAAAUCAGUUUAAAUGAGUUAGCUGGUGUUAGCAAACAAGUUUGAGCUACAAUAUUCGAGCUUCACGUAAAUGACUAUAGCUUUCAACUGCUUUAUCACUCUUAAAAUGGGGAAAAAGUCCUCAGUUAACUUGAAUGUUACUCAAUUUUCUUUUUUGAUGAUACCCAACAUUGUAGCACCUAGAAGAUGACCACAAUAGCAUACUCGGAUGAAUUAGAAUGUUGACUGAAAUAUUAAGAAGGGUCCACUAUUCUAUGUAAUAGCUAAGCUUAAGCUGGAUUUUCCUAUGUAAUAUUAAGCAAUAAUCCCCAAUUCGGCAAUUUGACAAAGCAAUUUAAGAAAUAAAAUUUGCAGUAACAUACUAACAUGCACAAGUACCAACGAGAAGCGAAAUUGCCAGGAGGUUUCCUACACUAUACUCGAACAGAAAGGUAUCAAAAGGCAACAGAUUCCCCGUGAUCGUAAAAUUAUUGGAGCCAUUAUAGACUUCUGUCUUCCACGAAAAGUACACUUCUAAAACACAGA